This 1068-nucleotide long non-coding RNA is filed under the name Anas platyrhynchos platyrhynchos (common mallard). RNAcentral's name for it is "lncRNA (ENSAPLG00000028274.1)". The record is from RNAcentral. Lineage: Eukaryota; Metazoa; Chordata; Aves; Anseriformes; Anatidae.
GGUUGGGUUUCUCUGGGUCUCAUUUGUCUUCCUUGUGCUUCAGCUGUCUCGAGUGAGAGCUGUGAGGCCGUGGUGUGCCAGGACAUGCUGGGCCAUCCAUCAUGGGCUGUGCUGGCUGCUGGGGCAAGCCCGUGCCGAGCAGAAGCUCCCAGCUGUCCAGAGGGGCUCUGCCUCAUUUGCUUUAUCAGUUUGGAGGCUGCAGCCUUUCCCAUACUGCAUGCAGGCAGAUGCAAGCACAGAACAACUUCUUCCAGCAGGGCAUUGACCCCCUACAAAUGUGACCCCAGGGGGCUUUUCUACAAGAGCUCUGGCUGGGUUUCAGGAGGGUCAUUGCUCUCCUGCUACUAGAACCUCUUCAUUUCUGCCUGGGAAGCAUUCCUCCUGCGCUGGAUCUUGGCCCUUGUAAGGUAUGGCUGGUGGCACUCACACAAGGUUUCUGGGUUUCAGCCAGCUCAUUCUGCUUUCUGGGCCAGUGCUUGAAUGGUCUCAGCCUGCUCAGUAUUGCUUCUUCUCUUCCAACAGAGUGCCAGACUGAGUGGGGAGAUGAAGUAAUUCUUCACCUUCACCAGUCCUGGCAAUUCUGCAAUGCUUUGAUAUGGAUCUGCUACAAAGGGCUUUCUCUGAAAGUCAGGAGUGUGACAGUGGGUACCAGAGCUGGUCUGAAUAGCCUGCAGCUCUGUGUCCCUAAUACACGGGUCACCAGGGACAGCACAGAGUACAACACAAAAAUUCCCAAGCGAGCAUUUUUCUCAGCUGCCUGCAAAGGAGGAAGCCAUGGUGGCUGGAACCGUGGGGGCUUCCCGUGGGGCAAAAGGGUCUGCAUCUUCCUUCCCAGCCUUCCUGUGGGAUAUUUGUGUCCAAGGAUUUCCAGGCAGAGGGUGACAGGGCCAGCAAAAUGUCAUCAGAGAGAGCAGAGCUGCCAAGUGUGCAAAGGGAGCAGAGGACAGGGGAGCUGGGGAACUCUUCAAAGACAAUCCGAUGUACCAGGCUGGUAGUCCUAUUUGGGCACAGCAGCACAGAGUGGAAAGUCCCUGGCUGGCUCUUUUGUGUCUGAUAAGGCAGACUGGC